GCAUGCAAGUCAAACGGGAUGUAGCAAUACAUCUAGUGGCGAACGGGUGAGUAACGCGUGGAUGAUCUACCUACGAGAUGGGGAUAACUAUUAGAAAUAGUAGCUAAUACCGAAUAAAGUCAAUUAAUUUGUUAAUUGAUGAAAGGAAGCCUUUAAAGCUUCGCUUGUAGAUGAGUCUGCGUCUUAUUAGCUAGUUGGUAGGGUAAAUGCCUACCAAGGCGAUGAUAAGUAACCGGCCUGAGAGGGUGAACGGUCACACUGGAACUGAGAUACGGUCCAGACUCCUACGGGAGGCAGCAGCUAAGAAUCUUCCGCAAUGGGCGAAAGCCUGACGGAGCGACACUGCGUGAAUGAAGAAGGUCGAAAGAUUGUAAAAUUCUUUUAUAAAUGAGGAAUAAGCUUUGUAGGAAAUGACAAAGUGAUGACGUUAAUUUAUGAAUAAGCCCCGGCUAAUUACGUGCCAGCAGCCGCGGUAAUACGUAAGGGGCGAGCGUUGUUCGGGAUUAUUGGGCGUAAAGGGUGAGUAGGCGGAUAUAUAAGUCUAUGCAUAAAAUACCACGGCUCAACUGUGGAACUAUGUUGGAAACUAUAUGUCUAGAGUCUGAUAGAGGAAGUUAGAAUUUCUGGUGUAA
Molecule: ribosomal RNA, 632 nt
Filed under: Borreliella garinii
Lineage: Bacteria; Pseudomonadati; Spirochaetota; Spirochaetia; Spirochaetales; Borreliaceae
Description: bacterial SSU rRNA
Rfam family: Bacterial small subunit ribosomal RNA
Source: RNAcentral